CAACCUUUCUUUCCCACUAUCUUUGGUAGGUUAUGGCCUAAAAGAGAGGUUAAAGCAUUUAAGAACCAUCAUUAGAAGUAGGUCAUUGGGAAAUCUAAGCCAACAGGUUAUGGCUUAAUAAGUGAUGUGUUUGUGUGUAAGUUGACAAGGGCUCCAUUGUGCUGCAAGUUUUUGCCAACUUGACUCAAACUUAAAGCUAUCUGAGAAGAGGGUCUCUUAAGAAAAUAUCUCGGUGAGACUGGCCUAUAGGCAAGUCUGUGCAGUACUGUCCUUGAUCAGUGAUUGACCUGGGAGGGCCAGUGACUGUGGGUGGUGCCAACCCUAGUUAGGUGGUCUUGAGUUGUAUAAAAAGCAGGCUGGGCAAGUCACAAGACCACGCCAGUAACAGCACCCCUUCCUGGCCUCUGCUUCAGUUCCAGUCCCCAGUUCUUGCACUGACUUCCCCUAGCGAUAGAUAGAGUGUGAACCUGAGAGUUGUAAGCUGAAAUAAACCCUUCCCUUCCCAAGUUGCUUUUGUUUGUGGUGUUUUAUCACAGCAAGAGAAACGGUAAGACACUGUAAGAGAAGAAGAUGGCUUUGAGAGGGUCACAGAUCCCCUGGGCCUGGUGUUCUCUGCCACUCACACUGAGAAUAGGGUUUUUCUCAGGAGACCACAUUCUUCACAGGUCCCUGCAGGGCAAUCACAGAGCCUCCUCCAGAGGGUGAAGAGCCAACACGUCAAGGUGCAGAGAGCAGGUGGGAUGGGAGGCAGCCUGCUGGGUCCAUCCAGGCCUGGGGAUGUUACAGAGCUGGGGGUUCCAGGGCUGAUUGGGCCUGAGAAGCACAUCGGUCCCAGACCUAUGUCUGUCUCCAGCAGUGUGCAGAGACAUCACACCAACGCUGGAAACACUGGAGCCAUCAGCUCUCGUUUAAGCUUUUGUUUUUCUGCCGAGGUAUGGCUGAUGCAAGACAAGCAGCACAUAUUUCAAAUGCUUUGAGAGGUCUUGGCCUCUGAACGCAUCCUUGAAGCUGGGGUGUGACAGAGAAUCCACAUCUCUCCCUCCUCGGGUCUCUACCGUAGACCCAGUCUGACUCUGAUCUGCCUUUUGAUGCGGGAGACUCAUACUAUAGAAUGCUUAUGUGUAAGCUGUGGUGCAGGACAGCCCAUUUUUGUCUGGCAUUGAUUAUUAUGAGAUUCAUCCAGGCAAUGUGUGUUGGCAUACCAUUCCACUGUGUUAACAGUCAUGCCCAUUCGAUGAAGGUGGAUGUGCGGGCUGUUUGUGUUUGGUGCCAUUCCAGACAAGACCUUUGUGCGUGUUUGUGUUUGAGUCUUUGAAUGGCCGCAUGCUCAUGUCUCUUGGAUAAACCCCUCAUCAUUCAAUAGCUGGGCCAUCUGGUAGAUCUGAUUGUUUUGGUCCCUAAAUACUGAAGACAGUCCAACCAAACUUUCUACUCUUGUCUUUGCUGCCUCAAGGCAGAUGUGGACCACCUCCCUCCCUCUCUGGGGAUGGGGUUACUAGCUCCGAGAGCAUAUAGAUUUUAUAUAUGACUCAUGAGCUUGGCUUGUAGGGUAUAGUCUGGAUCGUCCAACAGCAGCUGUGGCAUGACAGAAAGGCCAAGAACCCGGGUCAGUCCUCAAGGCUGAGUCUUGACCUGGAGUCCUAAAGAGAUCUGGUUUGCACUGGAAUCCUCAAGAAACUGGGUUUAACCCUAGCCACACCACAGGGCAGAUGAACUUUCCAGGAGAGUAAGAGCAAGUAAGCAAAAAACAAAGGUUCUCCCUCACACAACUUUUUAUCUGGGCUGCACUAAAAGGUCUGGACCAGAUGUAAGGUAAGUUUUCCUAUUUCGAAUAAUAUGAUUAAGAAAAACAUUCACAGGUGUGCCCAGAGACUUGGGUUUUAGUUGAUUCCAGAAGUAGUCAUGGGGACAGCUACAUGCCUGAGACAGCUACAGCAGACUGGCUUCGAUAGAGUCUUCCUAGGGAUUUCUCUGCCCACUUUGCCUUCUGACUUACUCAUCCAGUGAGAAUGUCUGGCUUUGUGAUGUGGCACACUGAUGUCAUCAAGUGUGUUGGGCUGCACAUCAAGUGUGUGUAGUAUUUCUUCUGCAAUGCAGGUGCCCGCAGCUCACAUCUUAGAUCGUUGAUAGCCCGAGGGUCUAAUGCCUCAGCAGUGACUCCUAAAGGACAGAGUGGAGUGGAAACUUAAGGGUUCCUUGGAAAGUCAGUUGUGCUGGAUGCGUGAAAAGACCUGUGAGGAAGAAUUCUUCACUAACAACACACAUGUGUCGGUCUGCCUUACACUGUGCAGUUAGUCGAGCUCCAUUUGUUGGGACUCCAUAGAGAAAAACACAGAACCCGUGCUGAGGCAAGACACAUGCGUCACGUGGCCCUGAACAAAGGCGGUGAACUUUAUCCGGCAGUAACCUAAUCUCCUGGAUCGUUUACCAACAACACUCAGAGUGAUCUCCGGGAUUACCUUGGGCUUUGGCCAGCACCAGGGAGACUGGGCUGAACAGAAGGAAACUCCGUUCACAAAGAGAUACAACAGGAACCGUGGAGGAGCUGUUGGCUGGCACUCAGCUAGCUUUCUUACAAGGUUUAGGACCAUCUGCCUGGGGGAUGGUGUUAUCUACACAGUAGAUUGGGCCAGUCUACCUCAGUGAACAGUCCCUGCCCCAGACGUGCCCAGAGGCCGUUAUGAGAAGCAGUUCCUUGAUUGAACUCUCUUCCCAGAUAAAUACUAGUUUCUGUCAAUUUGACAGUUAAAGCUGAGUAACUAAGAUGAGCUCAUUUAUGUACGUAUAGACAGUUUCUCAGUAUAGCCCGGGCUAUACCGAGCUCACUGUGUGACUGGAGAUAAUUUUGACCUUCUAAUCCUACUGCCUCCACCUCCCAAGUGCUGGGAUUGCAGGCUCGUGCCGCCAUGGUUGGUUUAUACAGUACUGGGAAUCCAAUCCAGGGCUUCAUGCGUUCUAGCAAGUAAUCCACUAAAGAAACCAUCCUCAGCCUGAGAACGCUUAUAAAUGAGAGAGACUCAGCUUAGGGCAGUUUCUGGCUCUGUGUGGACCACGUUCUCUCCUAGCGUCAGAGCUUUCCUCAGAGUUCUGUGAGAGCAGUGUUAACUGUGGACAGUCCUGGACUCACAUCACCCCAGUUUGUUGCCUCAGAAGACAAAACUCUCCCAGGAUCUUGAGAUGGAUCGAGAUUGAGAGUCCUGAGUUCAGAGCUCUUAAUGGAACGGGCAAAGUUCUAAGGAGAGAAGCUAUGGAGAUGGGGAAAGGAAACUCAGGUGGAGCAGAGAUGGAGGCACAAGCCAAGGCCUCUGUGAGUCACCAGAAGCAGGGGCAGGACCAGCCUUGGUAACGCUGUGAUUUAGGACAGCCGACAAUCCCAACAUGUGUUAAUUCUAAUACAUUUCUGUCUUUUGAA
RNAcentral lists this small RNA (3412 nucleotides) under Rattus norvegicus (Norway rat). RNAcentral's name for it is "uncharacterized LOC102555670". The record is from RNAcentral. Lineage: Eukaryota; Metazoa; Chordata; Mammalia; Rodentia; Muridae.